GCUCUCCUAUCAAAGGCAAUCGAAAGUUUCGAUUGCCGGAGACGGAAAAAGAGGCAAAAAACGAACCAGUUUAAUUGUAGAACAUGCAAACAAACGGUUGUUUCAAAAGGAAAGGAAAAAACGGUGGGUGUUGGGUUAGAAAACAAGUGUCAAGUCACAGUUAACCCUGACACGCGAAUCGAAUGAUUGCAGGCGAAAUAGACGAAAAUGCAUGCGCUAAAAAGAAAAAGCUAGACGCUGGAAGUUGGGCACGUCCUUGAAAGAGGGAAAAUUGGACUGAUCAGUUAAGACGGUUGCAAAUCGCUUCAGACACGGUAGAAAAGUAGAGGUCGAAAACGAAAAUUGCCCUCGUUUCUGCAGUGCGCGUUUGCAAUGGAUACUUGAGAAACAAGAACUUUCAUUUGCAGAUGGAGUGGGAAGAAUGAACAACUUUUGACUGGUGAAGUGGAAACCUUGGAAACGAGGCCGGAAAAGGUCUCUAACCUAUUUUUACUGUCCAUCUUAAUACCUCGUUGAGAAAUCACAGGUAGAUUUUACUUGCCCCGCCUUUCUCAUGAUUUAUUUACCGGAGCAGUUCUCGGGGAACGAUGGAGGACCCCAACUUGGCAAACUUUUCGUGCCAGACAUUAAACUCAUGUCGAUGAGGCAAUGUGAUGGAGAAAACAAAACCAUAACAAAACGAUAUACUUCGUCACACACGCAGCCAAACGCACGCGAGUGUUGAAAGGGAAGGCGGAGCUUGGCCGUCGGAGAGAAAAAAAAAAUUCCCCGGACGUGCAACGGAAUAUCUCCAGCAGCGCAAAGGGCCUUUUUUUUUUGUCCAUCAAAAUCCCAAUACAUCAUGAGCGCCGGUGACACGCCAUCAUUUCAAGCCUUUACCAUGUUCGCCGUUUUCUACCGUGCGGAACAGGAGGGGGAGCGAAAAAACUUUUUUACGACCGACUUGUUUAGCGAAACCCACCAGUGAGUUGAUGGACGUAACGGCGGGAACGGGCUAGUGUGUGACACACUCACACGCGCGCAGAGUGGGCCAUAAACGAAAACUUCAUCCGUGUAACGCGCCCGUUGCCUAAUAAGAUUGCGUUCACUCAGCUAGAAUUGCCCACUGACUGGCCGACUGAUUUGCCCGCGUAUAACGGAUCGCGCAACAUUUUCCGCCAUUCUGAACUCCGCGUACGGUCUGCGAGUAAGAUUGUACUCGGUGCCGAAACUGGGGAGGAGCGAAACGGAACAAACGUGCGCCACUUACGAAGCGGAUUGGGGAAUGAAGGCAGCUAUAGGCCAAUUAAGCCAAUUCAAGCCAGUCUUGAGAGAUGACGGAAUAGUGGAACAAUAGAGGAAUAGCUAAGGCUGUGUGCGUAUGCUGAGAGGGCUGAAAGACAUCUUGGUGUUUAGCUAUUCCGCCAACGUUCCGUCAAUAUCCAAGGACGGACUUUUCGUGAAAACUCGGAUAGGCAAAGGAGAGAGGGAGUGAAGAAAGAAGAAAUGCGGAGCAGAGAAAACAGCUGGAUGCUGUCCACCAGCUCGCUUUUGUUAUUUACCAUUUAGAACGUGUAGAGUGACGCUGGCCAGUUGGAGGCUAGGAGGUCCACACGAGUAGUUGCCGGCAAAGUCGGGCGUGGCAGGCGGAACGUUCAAGACGGCCAGAAGAGAAUCAGGUCCCAGGCGGGUGACGCGGGCGCUCCAUCCGUUUUUCGUAGCGCCUAACGGAAAUUACAUUGCAAAUGUUCGGAGGAAAUGGACAUUGUCGUAAGAGACUCACCAGACGGCGCUAGUGCUGCCACCUCUUUGGAUCCUUCGUACGUCCGCGAUUCCUCGAGUGCCGAGCCGGCUAUCCUCUCGGUUUUAUGGUACCAAAAAAUGUACGGUG
This is a long non-coding RNA of Daphnia carinata, 1870 nucleotides long. RefSeq lists it as uncharacterized. Lineage: Eukaryota; Metazoa; Arthropoda; Branchiopoda; Diplostraca; Daphniidae. The transcript is spliced from 5 exons. The record is from RefSeq and is a predicted model, not a curated record.